AGACAUUAACUAGAAUCAAUCUCAUUGUCCAAAAUUUUGUUUCCCGAUUUCCUGAUUUGUGAUUACGUCACAAGACUUCUAACUGAACACAUCAAUUAUGUCCUAGUUGGGCCCAACAAUAUAAGUCAACACCAAAUCACUGAGGGGACCAAAGAUAUUGCUUUUCCCGUUAGGGCAACAAGAACGAAUAAACUUUGACUUAUAUUCUUGUAUCAUUUACUCACAAAUCAUACAUGACACUAUGUUUUAUAACAUCAUGUUACUUAUGUGUUUUCACAACAACAAUGACCAACUAACUUGUAAAUUACAACUCAUAUAUCUUCGUUUUAAGAAUAUAAGAUAUUAUCGUCUCGCAGUUACUCAUGAUAUAAUCCAUGAAGUAAUUCUUUGAGCGUGAGNACCCAGAGCCGACAAGAAAAGUUAUGCAGACAGACGCCGGUCCAAACUUGAGUUUCAGGUCGGCGACUUCGUACUCCUGAAGGCCUCUCCUUGGAAAGGAGUGAUUCAAUUCGGGAAGAGGGGCAAGUUGGGGUCCCGGUAUAUUGGGCCUUUUCGUGUGGUUGCGAAAGUAGGCCGGGUNUUAAGAAUAUAAGAUAUUAUCGUCUCGCAGUUACUCAUGAUAUAAUCCAUGAAGUAAUUCUUUGAGCGUGAGUUUAUUCAAC
Molecule: long non-coding RNA, 662 nt
Filed under: Lactuca sativa (garden lettuce)
Lineage: Eukaryota; Viridiplantae; Streptophyta; Magnoliopsida; Asterales; Asteraceae
Description: long non-coding RNA (LSAT_LNC005835)
Source: RNAcentral